GGUAAAUUCCUCCAGCAGGCUAUAUUCGGUUUGCUGCUGACGUGCAUGGGUAAAUAGACACUAUGAAGAAAAGGAAAAGGCACAGAGACAUCAGGCACUUUUUUGGAGCUAAAAGAGAAAGGGGUGCCCAGCAGACGGGAGAGGCACAAUGAUGAAAGCUGUGAGCAGGCCGCAGGGAGACGACACUAUGAGGUUCUUCAUCUACAGUGGAUGUGGAAUAUGUGGAGUGGAGUUUAUGUGGAUGUGGAG
Alosa alosa (allis shad) is the source of this 249-nucleotide long non-coding RNA. RefSeq lists it as uncharacterized. The record is from RefSeq and is a predicted model, not a curated record. The transcript has 4 exons. NCBI's taxonomy places the organism in Eukaryota, Metazoa, Chordata, Actinopteri, Clupeiformes, Clupeidae.